AAAAAAGUGGCCAUUUUCAUCUUUCUGUGCCGAAUGAAAAGAGAAAGAAAAUAAGAGAACCAAGCUAGGUAUUUGGCCCUUGUUCAAGCAAAUUAAGAUCAAAAAUUAAAGAAAUCAGAUUUGGAUCGGGGAAAGACAAAAGUGGUUGAGUAGCCGAUUUAACAGUCGACGAUAUCCGAGAUUUUGGAAGUUGGUUACGAGCUCGGGGACCGUCAGCAAAGUCUAUCACACUAUCGACAUCUUUUGGGUACUUUGAUAAAUUUUUGAAUUCGAUAUUAUGGCAUGUAUAGGUCUGCUUAUGUUUUUGGUUAGUUUUGGAACAUGUAUAUAAAUGGCCAUGCGAAAAUGGGGUUUAUAAUUUUGCAUAUUGAAUUAUGGUAUAAGUUUGUGAUAUA
Gossypium raimondii (Peruvian cotton) is the source of this 395-nucleotide long non-coding RNA. RefSeq lists it as uncharacterized. The record is from RefSeq and is a predicted model, not a curated record. The transcript has 3 exons. Lineage: Eukaryota; Viridiplantae; Streptophyta; Magnoliopsida; Malvales; Malvaceae.